CAAAAGACAGAAACUCACUAACAGCAUCCUGCUGGAGCAGGGUUGGACUAGAUCAGAGGUCUCCAACCUUGGCUACUUUAAGACUUGUGGACUUCAACUCCCAGAGUUCCUCAGCCAGCAUUUCACCCCUGAUUACAGGAAGCGCCUAAAUGUGCCUCAUAGGAAUAUGAAGUCAUAAAUCGCCUGGACACUGGAAAAAAGUGAGAAUUUGCAAAGCAGCGCACUUUUAUGUUGCAGAAUCAGUUACAGUAAUGAAAGCAGGGAAAAGAAGCAAAGAAGAAAAGAGAAAAUAAGACAACAAGAGCUUACUAAACUAACUCUGAGAGACGUUGCGAAUCAAAACUACGGACUGGAGUUCAUUUCAACCAUAAACUUAGAAGCGAUGGUCAGCUCUUAAACAUUUGUAUGCUGUUCUCUUCCCAUCUAUUCUAAGCUCUGAAGGCAGGGGCAUAUCUGAGGUCAUAGAAUGUCCUGACAAAGGAGAUGCUUCAAGUACAUCGAUCCCAGGCUGCACGGCUUUAGAGAAAAAUAUCUCUGAAAUGAUGACCUACAGUUCAUGGGUUGUCUAGUAUACGGAUAUAAAACUGCUGUCCAAAGCAUUAUCCAUACACAGUAAUCAGAAAUUACAUCUCUGCAAUUGUCUUCAGCUUUGCUGGCUGAGGAAUUCUGGGAGUUGAAGUCCACAAGCCUUAAUGUUGCCAAGGUUGGAGAGCCCUGCUCAAGAGGGCCAGGUUUUGUAUGGCCAUUUAAAGUACUCCAUAACUGUAACCAUUUUUGUUUUUGGCUCUACAAAUACACAGAGUGACAAAAAU
Ahaetulla prasina is the source of this 812-nucleotide long non-coding RNA. RefSeq lists it as uncharacterized. Lineage: Eukaryota; Metazoa; Chordata; Lepidosauria; Squamata; Colubridae. The transcript has 7 exons. The record is from RefSeq and is a predicted model, not a curated record.